CGUCAUAUAAUGGUAUGAAAUUAUAUUAUGACCAAACUAUCCUUUAUAUCAUGAAAGGAUCCUAUUGCAUGUGACUGUCAAGUCUAACCUUCCCCUAUGCAAACCCAUCGUAGGAUCACCUGUUGCAUAGAUCUCAUGCUCAAAACUCCUUUUUCAUCCAUCCAUAUAAAUUUUAAAGCAAUCAGUGCAUGACCAUAAUUAUCCAUCCAUCUACACAUAUCUCAAAGCAACUAGUAUAUGAUCUAGAUUAUUUAUUUGCCUAUGCAACUCUUAAAACAGCUGCAUGGAUGAUCUAGAUUAUUCAUCCUUUUGCAUAUAUCUC
Molecule: long non-coding RNA, 322 nt
Filed under: Elaeis guineensis (African oil palm)
Lineage: Eukaryota; Viridiplantae; Streptophyta; Magnoliopsida; Arecales; Arecaceae
Description: long non-coding RNA (EGUI_LNC014324)
Source: RNAcentral